AUGGAGAUUGGCAGCGGCGGCUGCGGCGGCGGCGACGGGAGCGGCGGAGGGGGCGGGGACGACCAGCAGCGCCACGGGCUCAAGUUCGGCAAGAAGAUCUACUUCGAGGACAGCACGGGCCCCGGCGGUGGCAGUGGCGGCGUUAAUGCGUCCUCGUCCAAGCCGCCCGCGGGCGGCGGGAGGAAGGGGAAGGCCGUGGCCGCCGGGGGAGCGUCCGGCUCCGCGCCGCCGCGGUGCCAGGUGGAGGGGUGCGGCGUGGAUCUGAGCGGCGCCAAGCAAUACCACUGCCGCCACAAGGUGUGCUCCAUGCACACCAAGGAGCCCCGCGUCGUCGUCGCCGGCCUCGAGCAGCGCUUCUGCCAGCAGUGCAGCAGGUUCCACCAGUUGCCUGAAUUCGAUCAAGGAAAACGCAGCUGCCGCAGACGCCUCGCAGGCCACAACGAACGCCGGAGGAAGGCACCCCCCGGCCCUCUCGCAACACGCUACGGGCGACUCGCUGCAUCCUUUGAAGAACCCGGCAGGUUCAGAAGCUACCUGCUGGAUUUCUCGUACCCAAGAGUUCCGAGCAGCGUGCGGGAUGCCUGGCCGGGGGCUCGACUAGGCUACCGGAUGCCUGGUGAAAUCCAGUGGCAAGGCAACCUAGACCUGCGUCCUCACACAGGUGCAGGCACGGGAUACGGCCACCACCAUGCAUACAGCAGCCACGGCGGCUUCCCCGGCCCAGAGCUCCCUCCAGGUGGGUGUCUCGCAGGGGUCGCCGCCGACUCCAGCUGUGCUCUCUCUCUUCUGUCAACUCAGCCAUGGGACAACACCCCCCACGGUGCCAGCCACGACCACCGGUCCGCGGGCUUCGAUGGCCACCCUGUGGGAGUGUCACCCUCCAUCAUGGCGAGUAACUACAUGCCGCCGCCGGCGAGCCCCUGGGGUGGCUCCCGGGGCCAUGAAGGCGGCCGGAACGCGCCGCAUCAGCAGCUGCCACAUGACGUCCAGCUCCACGAGGUGCACCACCCAGCAGGCUCUAGCCAGCACGGCCACUUCUCAGGCGAGCUCGAGCUCGCCCUGCAGGGGAACAGGCCGGCGCCUGGGCCACGCGGCGGCGAUCACGGCAGCAGUGGCGGCGCGUUCGACCACCCCGGCAGCUCGUCCAACUGGUCCCUGUAG
RNAcentral lists this ribosomal RNA (1161 nucleotides) under Triticum aestivum (bread wheat). Its description in RNAcentral is "partial small subunit ribosomal RNA". Lineage: Eukaryota; Viridiplantae; Streptophyta; Magnoliopsida; Poales; Poaceae. The record is from RNAcentral.